This 248-nucleotide ribosomal RNA is filed under the name uncultured bacterium. Its description in RNAcentral is "partial 16S ribosomal RNA". It matches the Rfam family "Bacterial small subunit ribosomal RNA", at positions 1254 to 1500 of the family's 1533-position model. The record is from RNAcentral.
GCCGCGAGGCAGAGCGAAUCGCUAAAAGACCGUCCCCAGUUCGGAUUGCAGGCUGCAACCCGCCUGCAUGAAGUUGGAAUCGCUAGUAAUCGCGGAUCAGCAUGCCGCGGUGAAUACGUUCCCGGGCCUUGUACACACCGCCCGUCACACCAUGAGAGUCGGGAACACCCGAAGUCCGUAGCCUGACCGCAAGGGGGGCGCGGCCGAAGGUGGGUUCGAUAAUUGGGGUGAAGUCGUAACAAGGUAUC